AGAGUUUGAUCCUGGCUCAGAUUGAACGCUGGCGGCAGGCCUAACACAUGCAAGUCGAGCGGUAGAGAGAAGCUUGCUUCUCUUGAGAGCGGCGGACGGGUGAGUAAUGCCUAGGAAUCUGCCUGGUAGUGGGGGAUAACGUUCGGAAACGGACGCUAAUACCGCAUACGUCCUACGGGAGAAAGCAGGGGACCUUCGGGCCUUGCGCUAUCAGAUGAGCCUAGGUCGGAUUAGCUAGUUGGUGGGGUAAUGGCUCACCAAGGCGACGAUCCGUAACUGGUCUGAGAGGAUGAUCAGUCACACUGGAACUGAGACACGGUCCAGACUCCUACGGGAGGCAGCAGUGGGGAAUAUUGGACAAUGGGCGAAAGCCUGAUCCAGCCAUGCCGCGUGUGUGAAGAAGGUCUUCGGAUUGUAAAGCACUUUAAGUUGGGAGGAAGGGCAGUAAAUUAAUACUUUGCUGUUUUGACGUUACCGACAGAAUAAGCACCGGCUAACUCUGUGCCAGCAGCCGCGGUAAUACAGAGGGUGCAAGCGUUAAUCGGAAUUACUGGGCGUAAAGCGCGCGUAGGUGGUUAGUUAAGUUGGAUGUGAAAUCCCCGGGCUCAACCUGGGAACUGCAUUCAAAACUGACUGACUAGAGUAUGGUAGAGGGUGGUGGAAUUUCCUGUGUAGCGGUGAAAU
This 684-nucleotide ribosomal RNA is filed under the name uncultured bacterium. Its description in RNAcentral is "bacterial SSU rRNA". It matches the Rfam family "Bacterial small subunit ribosomal RNA", at positions 8 to 687 of the family's 1533-position model. The record is from RNAcentral.